AGUGAACGCUGGCGGUAGGCCUAACACAUGCAAGUCGAACGGCAGCACAGUAAGAGCUUGCUCUUACGGGUGGCGAGUGGCGGACGGGUGAGGGAUACAUCGGAAUCUACUUUUGGUGGGGGGGCAACGGGGGGAACCUUACCGCAUACCCCCUAAGGCCUAACGGGGGAAAUCUGGGGACCUCGGGCCCUUGCCGAGUCCAUUGGCCGGAUGUCGGAUUAGCUAGUUGGGGGGGUAAAGGCCCACCAAGGCGACGAUCCGUAGCUGGUCUGAGAGGAUGAUCAGCCACACUGGAACUGAGACACGGUCCAGACUCCUACGGGAGGCAGCAGUGGGGAAUAUUGGACAAUGGGCGCAAGCCUGAUCCAGCCAUACCGCGUGGGUGAAGAAGGCCUUCGGGUUGUAAAGCACUUUUGUUGGGAAAGAAAAGCAGCAGGUUAAUACCCCGCUGUUCUGACGGUACCCAAAGAAUAAGCACCGGCUAACUUCGUG
RNAcentral lists this ribosomal RNA (492 nucleotides) under uncultured bacterium. RNAcentral's name for it is "partial 16S ribosomal RNA". It matches the Rfam family "Bacterial small subunit ribosomal RNA", at positions 29 to 507 of the family's 1533-position model. The record is from RNAcentral.